CCUACGGGUGGCAGCAGUGGGGAAUAUUGGACAAUGGGCGAAAGCCUGAUCCAGCCAUGCCGCGUGUGUGAAGAAGGCCUUCGGGUUGUAAAGCACUUUCAGUGGGGAAGAAAGCCUUGGGGCUAAUACCCUCGAGGAAGGACAUCACCCACAGAAGAAGCACCGGCUAACUCCGUGCCAGCAGCCGCGGUAAUACGGAGGGUGCGAGCGUUAAUCGGAAUUACUGGGCGUAAAGCGCGCGUAGGCGGUCUGAUAAGCCGGUUGUGAAAGCCCCGGGCUCAACCUGGGAACGGCAUCCGGAACUGUCAGGCUAGAGGGCAGGAGAGGAAGGUAGAAUUCCCGGUGUAGCGGUGAAAUGCGUAGAGAUCGGGAGGAAUACCAGUGGCGAAGGCGGCCUUCUGGACUGACACUGACGCUGAGGUGCGAAAGCGUGGGUAGCAAACAGGAUUAAAUACCCGAGUAGUC
Molecule: ribosomal RNA, 465 nt
Filed under: Vreelandella stevensii
Lineage: Bacteria; Pseudomonadati; Pseudomonadota; Gammaproteobacteria; Oceanospirillales; Halomonadaceae
Description: partial 16S ribosomal RNA
Rfam family: Bacterial small subunit ribosomal RNA
Source: RNAcentral